UACGUAGGGUGCAAACGUUGCUCGGAAUCAUUGGGCGUAAAGCGCACGUAGGCGGUCUGUUAUGUCGGAUGUGAAAGCCCUUGGCUUAACUGAGGAAGUGCAUCCGAAACUGGCAGGCUAGAGUACUAAAGAGGGUCGCGGAAUUCCCGGUGUAGAGGUGAAAUUCGUAGAUAUCGGGAGGAACACCGGUGGCGAAGGCGGCGACCUGGGUAGAUACUGACGCUGAGGUGCGAAAGCGUGGGGAGCAAACAGG
RNAcentral lists this ribosomal RNA (253 nucleotides) under uncultured bacterium. Its description in RNAcentral is "partial 16S ribosomal RNA". It matches the Rfam family "Bacterial small subunit ribosomal RNA", at positions 524 to 776 of the family's 1533-position model. The record is from RNAcentral.